This 253-nucleotide ribosomal RNA is filed under the name uncultured bacterium. RNAcentral describes it as "partial 16S ribosomal RNA". It matches the Rfam family "Bacterial small subunit ribosomal RNA", at positions 524 to 776 of the family's 1533-position model. The record is from RNAcentral.
UACGUAGGCAGCGAGCGUUGUUCGGAGUUACUGGGCGUAAAGGGUGUGUAGGCGGUUUUCUAAGUUUGGUGUGAAAUCUCCCGGCUCAACCGGGAGGGUGCGCCGAAAACUGGGAGACUAGAGUGCGGGAUGGGAGAGUAGAAUUCCUGGUGUAGCGGUGAAAUGCGUUGAUAUCAGGAGGAACACCCAUGGCGAAGGCAGCUGACUGGGCAUUAUCUGACGCUGAGGCGCGAAAGCGUGGGGAGCGAACAGG